This is a long non-coding RNA of Biomphalaria glabrata, 1167 nucleotides long. RefSeq lists it as uncharacterized. The transcript has 4 exons. The record is from RefSeq and is a predicted model, not a curated record. Lineage: Eukaryota; Metazoa; Mollusca; Gastropoda; Planorbidae.
GGCGAACAAGAAGAACACUAUGGCGAUAGCUUAAAAGAAGGCAACAUAGUUAAAGUACGCAUCCAAGUCCAAAAGAGUUCUAUCAAUGGAAUCAACUUCAUUAACAAACGUGGCAAACAUGUAGAUUACGUUGCACAUCCAUCACAUGUAAACUAGAUAACAAAGCUGUCAAAACUGAUAACAACUCUAACAACAAGCACUCUUGUUGUAUUCCAUUGGCGAUAUCGAAUGGAAUUUAAAAGGAACUAUCAAGCAAGGUCAAUGGUGUGCGAGCGAGACGACAUGGACGCUGAAUGGGCAUUGACACAGACCACAGAAGAAGCAAGCUUGCGUGAUCAAUUCCUUUAGCAACAUCAACAUGGAGUCGGGCCGCAUUGAUUUGGAAGCCCUAGUCCCACUUCAGCCUAGAGGGACGCUGGUUAUCUCCACACACAGGACUUUUUUUUGUCUUCACUCACACACACACACACACGAUUAUUUUUUGUGAGGGUUCCGGAAGAAACAGCGGGAAAGGGGUGGUCAUAAUUUGUAAUUUUGGUCAUAAGACAUUGUGAUAUAACGAAGGGCGAGCAAACCUUUUCUUUGCUGUGUGGUCCAGCGCAAAGGAAAUAGGUGUGUAUGUGUUGGUCAAUCUAUUGUGUCCGUGGUACUGGGGGAUGUAUGAACAUUUAAAAAAAAACAGCUUGCACUUAAUAAAUAAAUAGAUUUAGUCAGUGCCAGAUUUUAAAUGUUGAGGCAAUCAGCAGAAUUUUCUAUCGUGGGGGAGGAUGUACCUUCCAAAAGUUUCAAUACAAAUUUAAAUAAUAAUGUUAAUAAAUCUAUAAGCAUGGUGUAUUUAUGAGAAAGAAAAUUGAGUACUUCUAAAUGUAAAUAUCAUUUUCUUUCCUUUUGAAUUUUUAAUAAGCUUAUUCUCAAAAUCUGUAUAACCUAUUUUUGAAAGGUAAAGACCCUCUUUAAGCGCAAGGCUCAGUGUGGCUGCACGUCUUAGCACAGUCGUAAAUCCGGCACAGGAUCUAGUUAGUGUUGAAUUCUAGCCAAGGCUAGUUUUGUAUGUUCAAGCUGUAUGACUUUGGCUUCUAUAUUCUCCAACACAUUAAAACGUCUUCUAGUUGCCAUGUUGUAGUUUUAAUGUUUUCAUUUCUAUUUUUGUUUGUUUGAUAUAGUUUU